Molecule: transfer RNA, 30 nt
Filed under: Oxya adentata
Lineage: Eukaryota; Metazoa; Arthropoda; Insecta; Orthoptera; Acrididae
Description: partial tRNA-Tyr
Source: RNAcentral
CUAUUAAUGAGAAAAUUUUCUCUCUUAUCA